CAGCUCUUCCUGGAGUCAGUGAUUCCAAGGUCAGGUGGUGCUUGUGGGUUUCCAGCCUGCCCCAGUUUUUCCUUGCCACCUGCCUGCCUAUGGACUGAAAACUUCAGCUCAUGCUCCUGAGGUCCAGCCUCUUGUGUUCUCCCUUCCCGGCUGCCUGUCCUGUGAGCCUCAGGUUUCUUAGCCAGUGCCCGGUCCAAGGAGAGGCGAUGCCAGCCGCUCCGCGCCCUGAUCUCAUUGUGGUACCAGAACGUCGAAGGCUCAUUGAGAGUACGUGUCUGAGCAGUGGUGAACUUUCAAAGUUGGAGGUGCCUCUCGGGGUUUGGCCACUUUUACUGCCCAUGAUCCCAGGGCCAUCUGACUACACUGGCAUUCGUCUGAUUUGUUAUUGAGGGACCAAUGUGUGUGUGAGCAAGAGUGGGGAUGUUCAGAGUUUAAUUAAGCAUCUGUCUUGGGCUUGUGCCCAGAUGCUCUGUGAUGGGUGAGUCCAAAAAUCAAUAACAACAGUGAAAGACAGAUAGGGUAACGCUAAUGAGCUCAAUAAUAACCACUUGUAAAACACGUCCGAACUUUGCAGGCUUCCUGGGGGGGGGAGGGGGUUGGCGCAUAUUCUGAAUGCCAAGGAAGGCUGAGCAUGGAAAUUCGGGUGGGAGUGAACAGGGCCACCUGUGAGGGUCACCGAGAAGCACUUCUGAGCCUGGUCGCUGGAGAGCAACGAUCAGACGCCCC
RNAcentral lists this long non-coding RNA (726 nucleotides) under Felis catus (domestic cat). RNAcentral describes it as "lncRNA (ENSFCAG00000041199.2)". The record is from RNAcentral. Lineage: Eukaryota; Metazoa; Chordata; Mammalia; Carnivora; Felidae.